RNAcentral lists this ribosomal RNA (402 nucleotides) under bacterium. RNAcentral describes it as "partial 16S ribosomal RNA". It matches the Rfam family "Bacterial small subunit ribosomal RNA", at positions 355 to 776 of the family's 1533-position model. The record is from RNAcentral.
UGGGGAAUUUUGCACAAUGGGGGAAACCCUGAUGCAGCGACGCCGCGUGAUUUAGAAGGCCUUCGGGUUGUAAAAAUCUUUUCUACGGGAAGAAAAUGACAGUAACAUAGGAAUAAGGACCGGCCAAUUACGUGCCAGCAGCCGCGGUAAUACGUAAGGUCCGAGCGUUGUCAGGAAUCAUUGGGCGUAAAGGGUACGUAGGCGGGUAAGCAAUUUAGAAGUGAAAUCCUAUAGCUCAACUAUAGUAAGCUUUUAAAACUGCUCAUCUUGAGGUAUGGAAGGGAAAGUGGAAUUCCUAGUGUAGCGGUGAAAUGCGCAGAUAUUAGGAGGAAUACCGGUGGCGAAGGCGACUUUCUGGCCAUAACCUGACGCUGAGGUACGAAAGCGUGGGUAGCAAACAGG